This 218-nucleotide ribosomal RNA is filed under the name uncultured bacterium. Its description in RNAcentral is "partial 16S ribosomal RNA". It matches the Rfam family "Bacterial small subunit ribosomal RNA", at positions 29 to 213 of the family's 1533-position model. The record is from RNAcentral.
AACGAACGCUGGCGGCGUGGCUAAGGCAUGCAAGUCGUACGGAACCACCUAAGUAGCAAUACGAGGGUGGUUCAGUGGCGGACGGGUGAGUAAUGCAUGGGUAACGUACCUUGAGCACAGGGAUAGCGUCGGGCCCGCAAGGGUCCUUUGCGAAAGUAGACGGUAAUACCUGAUGACAUCUCGAGAUCACAUGUUCUUGAGAUCAAAGGGUGGGAUCG